CGCCGCCUCAACCCGGAGCCCCCAAACGUGCGUCCUCCCCGAACGCCCGCCCGAGACCGGAAGCGGAAGCGCGGGCGGCGCCGUGGAUGGAGCGGGCGGUCUGCGCGGUGUGUCUGGUCUUCUCGGCUUGGACGUCCGGCCGAAUGGGAGGGGCGCGCCAAGAAAAGCAUCCAUGGAGCUCAAGUUUGAGGUGAAACCAGGCUCAGGGUCCACCUGUCCUCGCUGAUCCGUGGAUUUCUGUGUGACCAGCUUUGGGGCACAACCUGAAGACCCUCACAGUCACCUUCCCCAUCUCCGCCCUCCAGUAUUCAUCAGACAUGAGCAACGGCUCA
Molecule: long non-coding RNA, 332 nt
Organism: Diceros bicornis minor
Lineage: Eukaryota; Metazoa; Chordata; Mammalia; Perissodactyla; Rhinocerotidae
Exons: 3
Source: RefSeq, a predicted model, not a curated record